AACGCUGGACGGGCGUGCCUAACACAUGCAAGUCGAACGGAGUUACGAGAGCUUGCUUUGUAACUUAGUGGCGGACGGGUGAGUAAUGCGUGAGCGAACCUGCCUUUCAAGAGGGGGACAACAGUUGGAAACGACUGCUAAUACCGCAUAAUGUAGCGAGGGGGCAUCCCCCUGACUACCAAAAGGAGCAAUCCGCUGAAAGAUGGGCUCACGUCUGAUUAGGCUAGUUGGUGGGGUAACGGCUCACCCAAGGCUGCGAUCAGUAGCCGGACUGAGAGGUUGAACGGCCACAUUGGGACUGAGAUACGGCCCAGACUCCGUACGGGAGGCAGCAGUGGGGGAAUAUUGGGCAAUGGGCGAAAGCCCCUGACCCAGCAACGCCGCGUGAAGGAAGAAGGUCUUCGGAUUGUAAACUUCUUUUAUGGAGGGAACGAAGGACGUGACGGUACCUCAUGAAUAAGCCACGGCUAACUACGUGCCAGCAGCCGC
This 489-nucleotide ribosomal RNA is filed under the name uncultured bacterium. RNAcentral describes it as "bacterial SSU rRNA". It matches the Rfam family "Bacterial small subunit ribosomal RNA", at positions 32 to 518 of the family's 1533-position model. The record is from RNAcentral.